AGCAGCCGCGGUAAUUCCAGCUCCAAUAGCGUAUAUUAAAGUUGUUGCAGUUAAAAAGCUCGUAGUUGAAUUUCGGGAUCAAUAUUUCGGUCAUGCCGUUGGUAUGCACUGUUAUCAUUGAUUUCUCACCUUCUAAAGAACCGUGAUGCCAUUAAUUUGGUGUUACGGGGAAUUAGGACUGUUACCUUAGAAAAAAUUAGAGUGUUUAAAGCAGGCUCACGCUUGAAUACAUUAGCAUGGAAUAAUGAAAUAGGACAUCCGAUUCUAUUUUGUUGGUUCUAGGAUCGAUGUAAUGAUUAAUAGGGAUAGUUGGGGGCAUUAGUAUUCA
RNAcentral lists this ribosomal RNA (328 nucleotides) under uncultured Glomus. RNAcentral's name for it is "SSU rRNA". It matches the Rfam family "Eukaryotic small subunit ribosomal RNA", at positions 569 to 900 of the family's 1831-position model. Lineage: Eukaryota; Fungi; Glomeromycota; Glomeromycetes; Glomerales; Glomeraceae. The record is from RNAcentral.